Molecule: ribosomal RNA, 343 nt
Filed under: Streptomyces sp.
Lineage: Bacteria; Bacillati; Actinomycetota; Actinomycetes; Kitasatosporales; Streptomycetaceae
Description: bacterial SSU rRNA
Source: RNAcentral
GAAACGGGGUCUAAUACCGGAUACUGAUCCUCGCAGGCAUCUGYGAGGUUCGAAAGCUCCGGCGGUGCAGGAUGAGCCCGCGGCCUAUCAGCUUGUUGGUGAGGUAAUGGCUCACCAAGGCGACGACGGGUAGCCGGCCUGAGAGGGCGACCGGCCACACUGGGACUGAGACACGGCCCAGACUCCUACGGGAGGCAGCAGUGGGGAAUAUUGCACAAUGGGCGAAAGCCUGAUGCAGCGACGCCGCGUGAGGGAUGACGGCCUUCGGGUUGUAAACCUCUUUCAGCAGGGAAGAAGCGAAAGUGACGGUACCUGCAGAAGAAGCGCCGGCUAACUACGUGCC